UACGAAGGGGGCUAGCGUUGCUCGGAAUCACUGGGCGUAAAGCGCACGUAGGCGGGUUCUUAAGUCAGGGGUGAAAUCCUGGAGCUCAACUCCAGAACUGCCUUUGAUACUGGGAAUCUCGAGUCCGGGAGAGGUGAGUGGAACUGCGAGUGUAGAGGUGAAAUUCGUAGAUAUUCGCAAGAACACCAGUGGCGAAGGCGGCUCACUGGCCCGGUACUGACGCUGAGGUGCGAAAGCUAGGGGAGCAAACGGG
RNAcentral lists this ribosomal RNA (253 nucleotides) under uncultured bacterium. RNAcentral describes it as "partial 16S ribosomal RNA". It matches the Rfam family "Bacterial small subunit ribosomal RNA", at positions 524 to 776 of the family's 1533-position model. The record is from RNAcentral.